Molecule: non-coding RNA, 78 nt
Organism: Suillus ampliporus
Lineage: Eukaryota; Fungi; Basidiomycota; Agaricomycetes; Boletales; Suillaceae
Source: the annotation of a GenBank genome assembly
GCAUUGAUGGUGUAGCGGUAACAUGCGGUCUUCCCAGGUAUCUUGGCCGCGCUCCGAGUUCGACUCUCGGUCAAUGCA